RNAcentral lists this ribosomal RNA (181 nucleotides) under uncultured yeast. RNAcentral's name for it is "partial 26S ribosomal RNA". It matches the Rfam family "Eukaryotic large subunit ribosomal RNA", at positions 38 to 218 of the family's 3401-position model. The record is from RNAcentral. Lineage: Eukaryota; Fungi.
GCAUAUCAAUAAGCGGAGGAAAAGAAACUAAUAGGAUUCCCUUAGUAACGGCGAGUGAACCGGGAUGAGCUCAAAUUUAAAAUCUGGCGUCUUUCAGGCGUCCGAGUUGUAAUCUAUAGAGGCGUUUUCCGCGCCGGACCGCGUCCAAGUCUCUGGAAUAGAGUAUCAAAGAGGGUUACAA